This 398-nucleotide long non-coding RNA is filed under the name Populus trichocarpa (black cottonwood). RNAcentral describes it as "long non-coding RNA (PTRI_LNC003651)". Lineage: Eukaryota; Viridiplantae; Streptophyta; Magnoliopsida; Malpighiales; Salicaceae. The record is from RNAcentral.
UUUGUCUUAUCCCAUGACAUCAGAUGCAUUGAAUAAAGAAAUAAAAAAAAGUAAUCAUGGUAAAAAAAAAUUUAAUUAAAAAGAAAAAAACAACAAAAAUACAUUUCAAUCUAACCAAGGGUGUCACAAAGAAAAUAAAAAUCAGAAGUGAAGGAAUGACCCAAGCAAAUCUGAGUGCGCUUGUCGGCAUGCAACCCAUGCAUAAGGCCAUGAUAAGUUUUAUAGAAAUCUGAAAAAAGGAUAGAAUACAAAGCGUCGAAGGAUAAAAAAGACUAAUAUCACUUGAGUCAACAUUUCAAACUCAUCACCUCGAUUAUAAGCCUAGUGCAACCCUACUAACGAUAACCAUGACUCUCAAUUCGCAACCAACCCGAUAUCAAAAGAUAAAAUAAAAAAAU